GACGAACGCUGGCGGCGUGCCUAAUACAUGCAAGUCGAACGCUGAAGGAGGAGCUUGCUUCUCUGGAUGAGUUGCGAACGGGUGAGUAACGCGUAGGUAACCUGCCUGGUAGCGGGGGAUAACUAUUGGAAACGAUAGCUAAUACCGCAUAAGAGUAGAUGUUGCAUGACAUUUGCUUAAAAGGUGCAAUUGCAUCACUACCAGAUGGACCUGCGUUGUAUUAGCUAGUUGGUGGGGUAACGGCUUACCAAGGCGACGAUACAUAGCCGACCUGAGAGGGUGAUCGGCCACACUGGGACUGAGACACGGCCCAGACUCCUACGGGAGGCAGCAGUAGGGAAUCUUCGGCAAUGGACGGAAGUCUGACCGAGCAACGCCGCGUGAGUGAAGAAGGGUUUCGGAUCGUAAAGCUCGGUUGUAAGAGAAGAACGAGUGUGAGAGUGGAAAGUUCACACUGUGACGGUAUCUUACCAGAAAGGGACGGCUAACUACGUG
This 495-nucleotide ribosomal RNA is filed under the name uncultured bacterium. Its description in RNAcentral is "partial 16S ribosomal RNA". It matches the Rfam family "Bacterial small subunit ribosomal RNA", at positions 28 to 507 of the family's 1533-position model. The record is from RNAcentral.